CCACCACUGGAACUUGAGACCACGGUCCAGAACUUCUUACGGGAAGGCAAGCAGUGGGGGAAUAUUGCACCAAUGGGCGCAAAGCCUUGAUGCAGCCCAUGCCGGCGUGUGGUGAAGAAGGCCUCUCGGGUUGUAAAAGCAACUUUUCAGCGAAGAGAGGAAGGGGUUGAAGUUAAUACGGCUCAAUCAUUUGACGUUACCCCGCAGAAGGAAGCACCGGCCUAACUUCCGUGCCAGCAGGCCGCGGGUAAUACGGAAGGGUGGCAAGCGUAAUCGGAAUUUACUGGGCGGUAAAGCGCACGGCAGGCGGUUUGUUAAGUUCAGGAUGUGAAAUCCCCGGGGCUCAACCCUGGGAAACUGCAUUCUGAUACUGGCAAGCCUGAAGUCUCGUAGGAGGGGGGUAGAAUUCCAAGUGUAACGGUGAAAUGCGUAGAAGUCCGGGAGGAUUCCGGUGGCGAAGGCGGCCCCCUGGACGAAGACUGACGCUCAGGUGCGAAAGCGUGGGGAGCAAACAGG
Molecule: ribosomal RNA, 516 nt
Filed under: uncultured Streptococcus sp.
Lineage: Bacteria; Bacillati; Bacillota; Bacilli; Lactobacillales; Streptococcaceae
Description: bacterial SSU rRNA
Rfam family: Bacterial small subunit ribosomal RNA
Source: RNAcentral